CAGUCGCCGCGGGAAAACCAGCACCUCGAGUGGUCAGGAGGUUUAUUGGGCCUAAAGCAUCCGUAGCCGGUUGUUUAAGUUUUCGGUUAAAUCUAUGCGCUUAACGUAUAGGCUGCCGAAAAUACUGGACAGCUAGGGAGUGGGAGAGGUACACGGUACUCAAUAGGAAGGGGUAAAAUCCUUUGAUCUGUUGAUGACCACCUGUGGCGAAGGCGGUGUACCAGAACACGUUCGACGGUGAGGGAUGAAAGCUGGGGGAGCAAACCGGAUUAGAUACCCGCGUAGUCCCUGUCUCUUAUAC
This 301-nucleotide ribosomal RNA is filed under the name uncultured bacterium. RNAcentral describes it as "partial 16S ribosomal RNA". It matches the Rfam family "Archaeal small subunit ribosomal RNA", at positions 459 to 760 of the family's 1478-position model. The record is from RNAcentral.